UCUUCCGCAAUGGACGAAAGUCUGACGGAGCGAUGCCGCGUGAGUGAUGAAGGACUUCGGAUCGUAAAACUCUGUUGUUAGGGAAGAACAAGUAUCGGAGUAAUAUGCCGGUACCUUGACGUUACCUAACCAGAAAGCCCCGGCGACCUACGUCCCAGCAGCCGCGGUAAUACGUAGGGGGCAAGCGUUGUCCGGAAUAAUUGGGCGUAAAGGGAACGCAGGCGGUUAUUUAAGUCUGAUGUGAAAUCUUGUGGCUUAGACAAAAGCGGUCAUUGGAAACUGGAUAACUUGAGUACAGAAGAGGAGAGUGGAAUUCCACGUGUAGCGGUGAGAUGCGUAGAGAUGUGGAGGAACACCAGUGGCGAAGGCGGCUCUCUGGACUGUAACUGACGCUGAGGUGCGAAAGCGUAGGUAGCGAACA
This 421-nucleotide ribosomal RNA is filed under the name uncultured bacterium. RNAcentral's name for it is "partial 16S ribosomal RNA". It matches the Rfam family "Bacterial small subunit ribosomal RNA", at positions 362 to 774 of the family's 1533-position model. The record is from RNAcentral.